RNAcentral lists this ribosomal RNA (250 nucleotides) under uncultured bacterium. RNAcentral's name for it is "partial 16S ribosomal RNA". It matches the Rfam family "Bacterial small subunit ribosomal RNA", at positions 524 to 773 of the family's 1533-position model. The record is from RNAcentral.
UACGUAGGGUGCUAGCGUUAAUCGGAAUUACUGGGCGUAAAGGGUGCGCAGGCGGUCCUGUAAGUCAGAUGUGAAAUCCCCGGGCUUAACCUGGGAAUUGCGUUUGAAACUACAGAGCUAGAGUGUAAAAGAGGGAGGUGGAAUUCCAUGUGUAGCAGUGAAAUGCGUAGAGAUAUGGAAGAACAUCGAUGGCGAAGGCAGCCUCCUGGUUUAACACUGACGCUCAUGCACGAAAGCGUGGGGAGCAAAC